RNAcentral lists this ribosomal RNA (274 nucleotides) under uncultured bacterium. RNAcentral describes it as "partial 16S ribosomal RNA". It matches the Rfam family "Bacterial small subunit ribosomal RNA", at positions 524 to 795 of the family's 1533-position model. The record is from RNAcentral.
UACAGAGGGUGCAAGCGUUAAUCGGAAUUACUGGGCGUAAAGCGCGCGUAGGUGGUUCGUUAAGUUGGAUGUGAAAUCCCCGGGCUCAACCUGGGAAUGCAUUCAAAAACUGACGAGCUAGAGUAUGGUAGAGGGUGGUGGAAUUUCCUGUGUAGCGGUGAAAUGCGUAGAUAUAGGAAGGAACACCAGUGGCGAAGGCGACCACCUGGACUGAUACUGACACUGAGGUGCGAAAGCGUGGGGGAGCAAAACAGGAUUAGAUACCCCGGUAGUC